CUUGAUCCUCAGGAACUUCUCCUCAGUCCAUGCCAUCCUCUCUGCUCUGCAGAGCACCCUGAUCCAUCGACCGAAGAGGACGUGGAGAGAAGAUUCCAGGUGGAGACAGUCAAGUUGGCCACCCUGGAAUUGAACCACCAGAGAGUCCAGAUGAGGCAGUGGCAGCAGAAGAAGGUGGAUAUUUAAUUAUCUCAGCACAAUAUGUUGAGAAGACUGCUUUCCUCAAGGAGUUUUCUUGGCACUUUUGUCAAAAAUCAAUGACCAAAAAUGAAACAUUAUUUUUCUGGAACUUCAUGUCUUGUCCAUUUACCUAUAUGUCUACCCUUACUUAGUGUCAUUCUAUCUUGGAAACUGUACCUUUGUUAUUAGAUUUGCUUUUAGAAGAGUAAUCAUCUAAUUCCGAUUUUCUUUCUCAAGAUUGGUUUGGCUAUUCAGUUUUCUUUAAAUGACUAUAUGAAUUUUAGGAUUAUCUUGGAAAUGUCUGUUAAAAAGGCAAGUAGUACUUUGAAAUGACUUGUAUUGACUCAUUGAUCUUAAAAGUGUUGUGAUCAUAACUGUAUUGUCUUAUGAUUCAUGAAUAUUGAAUGCCUUUCAAUUUAUUUAGACUUUUUUGAUUUAUUUCAGCAGUUUUACAGUUUUUAGUUUACAAGUCCUCCACGUUUAUUU
Molecule: long non-coding RNA, 666 nt
Organism: Galeopterus variegatus (Sunda flying lemur)
Lineage: Eukaryota; Metazoa; Chordata; Mammalia; Dermoptera; Cynocephalidae
Exons: 3
Source: RefSeq, a predicted model, not a curated record